GGUAAGUUCGUAUGCGUUGUUCAAUUUUGAGAGGUUAAGUUCAGUUUAGUCUUGUUGAAUUCAUAACUCGAUUGCUAAAAUAGUUGUUGGGGUACUAUUUUUAGGUUCUAGGAAUCAAGUGGUUGUUUUUGCAUCAAAAUCGAGCCAGGUGUGUAACGAGAAACUCGAAAAAUGGCAAUCAGUGAAAGCCAAAAAUUUAG
Molecule: long non-coding RNA, 200 nt
Filed under: Gossypium barbadense (sea-island cotton)
Lineage: Eukaryota; Viridiplantae; Streptophyta; Magnoliopsida; Malvales; Malvaceae
Description: long non-coding RNA (GBAR_LNC001403)
Source: RNAcentral